Molecule: ribosomal RNA, 750 nt
Filed under: uncultured cyanobacterium
Lineage: Bacteria; Bacillati; Cyanobacteriota
Description: bacterial SSU rRNA
Rfam family: Bacterial small subunit ribosomal RNA
Source: RNAcentral
CUGGCGGCAUGCUUAACACAUGCAAGUCAUACGGGCACAGGCUCUUCGGGGUUUGUGCAAGUGGCGGACGGGUGAGUAACGCGUAAGAACUUGCCUCUUGGAGAGGGAUACCAGCUGGAAACGGCUGUUAAUACCUCAUAUGCUGAGGAGUGAAAGGGAGAUUCUCCCGCCAAGAGAUAGGCUUGCGUCUGAUUAGCUAGUUGGGGAGGUAAAAGCUUCCCAAGGCGAUGAUCAGUAGCUGGUCUGAGAGGACAAUCAGCCACACUGGGACUGAGACACGGCCCAGACUCCUACGGGAGGCAGCAGUGAGGAAUUUUCCGCAAUGGGCGAAAGCCUGACGGAGCAAUGCCGCGUGAAGGAUGAAGGCCUGUGGGUUGUAAACUUCUUUUCUUGGAGACGAAGUUCUGACGGUAUCCAAGGAAUAAGCAUCGGCUAACUCUGUGCCAGCAGCCGCGGUAAUACAGUGGAUGCAAGCGUUAUCCGGAUUUAUUGGGCGUAAAGCGUCCUGAGGUGGCCUGCCAAGUCUUCUGUAAAAUAGCAGGGCUUAACCCUGGAGAUGCGGUGGAAACUAGCAGGCUAGAGUAUGGUAGGGGCAGAGGGAAUUCCCGGUGUAGCGGUGAAAUGCAUAGAGAUCGGGAAGAACACCAGUGGCGAAAGCACUCUGCUGGGCCAAUACUGACACUGAAAGACGAAGCUAGGGGAGCGAAAGGGAUUAGAUACCCCUGUAGUCCUAGCCGUAAACGAUGGACA